This is an RNA transcript of Haplochromis burtoni (Burton's mouthbrooder), 2258 nucleotides long. It is a transcript of the gene named transmembrane protein 241, with no coding region annotated. NCBI's taxonomy places the organism in Eukaryota, Metazoa, Chordata, Actinopteri, Cichliformes, Cichlidae. The record is from RefSeq and is a predicted model, not a curated record. The transcript is spliced from 16 exons.
CUGCCCACGCAUAGACGAUCUCGGUGUGCCUGCGUCUUGACGCGUCAUGUGUGGUGACAGUGAGGGAAGUUUCCGAUCCUGAGAGGUCUUCAGUUUCAAAAACGAGCCGCUGUAUUAAAAGCUUUAUUAUUUUUGUUGGUACUUCUCAUCAUGUCCCAGCUGCAGCGUGUCUGCAGACCAUCAUGCAGUGGAGGAGACACGUCACCGGCCUCGCUUUUAGCCUUGUUUUUGUUGUGUCAUAUUUCACGAACAAGUUUGUCCUGUCAGUGUUAAACUUCACCUAUCCAACCUUAUUUCAAGGAUGGCAGACAUUUAUUGGAGCUAUCCUGCUUCUAGUGUCUGGAAAGCUGGGAUGGGUGGAAAUAAACCGCAUCACCAGAUCUGCGGCUCUGUCCUGGCUUCCGGGCUCCCUCCUAUUUGUGGGGAACAUUUACGCUGGUUCCCGGGCAUUAUCACGUUUAGACAUUCCCUUCUUCUUCACUCUUCAGAACUGCUCUCAUCCCUUUAGCUACGUGAUCUUCAAGGUCAUGCGCAGAGAGCAGAAGACACAGUGGCUGAAAUUUAUCAGCCUAUGCCUCAUGCUGCUUUCAGCCAUCAACCUUCCCUUUUAUGACCCUCAGGUGGACCACAGCGGUUACCUGUGGGCCGUCUGCCAUCUCGCCUGUGUUGGUGCAUAUAGAGUCUUUCAAGUUCACCACAAGUCCGUCAACCUGAGUGAUCUUGAGCAGCAGUGCAUUAACUACCUGUUCAGCGUGCUGCUGCUGGCUGCUGCUGCUCACCCGACAGGAGCCAGCACAGCAGACCCUCCACCUCUGUCACACCACCCCCCUGCAUGUCCUCUUUUACUACAUCCGUGGAUCUCCUCUGAGGUGACCUCACAGGUGCCUUGGAGUUCCCGUCCCUGCAGUCGCACACAUUUCACUGUGGCUGCUGUGCCAGCGCUCUGCUGGGCUUUUUGCUGCGGUUGGCUACAGUCAAAUUAAAAAGCGGACUGUCCUUUGAACACUUUGGGGUCUGGAUCUUUUUAUCUAAGGUUACUGCCAUGCUCCUGUCUCCAUUUAUUUUCUCUGUGAACUCUAAUGCUUCGUCUCUUUUGUGUGUGGUCGUCAGUCACGUCGGAGAGGCUCUGCUGAUCUAUUCUGAGAGGGAUACUCACGUGUGACGAAUUUCAGCACUUUAGACGAGUUCACCUCAAAUGACUCUUUCCUUAUUAACUGGGGAUGCAGAUUCUAUUUUUCUACAUUCAUUUUAUAACUUUGUCUAUUAUCUGAUCUCCUGACCAAAUAAAAGUUUGGUACAAACUGUCCUCACUGCACUGGGUCAGAAUUUAAAGGUCUGCAUAUUAUUAUUUACUUAUUUGUAGAUGAACUGUGACAAUCCCAACACUCCAUAGAAACAAUUAUUUAUUCAUCCAAACUAUCUGCACAAAAAAACAUUUAAAAAAACAAAACACAAGUCAGAACGACUGAAGGGGAGAAAGGAAACAACGGCAACCUUCUUCACAACAUCAGUUCUUUUACAGAUGGACAUUUUUAUUUCUCCUCCUUGUUUCGCUUCGGUGAGAAUAGAGCAUUUAAUGGCUGCCUCCUCCGUAAGCGCGCCUCAGGAUUCUUCUCUUCUUUGAUGUAACCUACAACAGAGGACGCAUCCUAGUAUUAAAGACCGUACAAUCCUCUCUCGUGCACUGAAAAGCAUGACAGGAUGAAGAAUGGUCCUGCUGAGAAAUGGGUUCAAAUGUUUUGCCCUUACUGCUUUAAUCUACAGUGCAUAACUGUUAAAUUACCUCUCUCAAUGCAUGUUUGCGUUGAUGGGAAUCCAACUUCCCAGAAGUUUUCAGGUGUGCAUGGAGGAACGUACAGGAAACGAUGCCUUGAGCAAGCAGACAGCUUUUUCUGUUUUUCCUCCUCUGGCAGAUGGGCGUAAUACUGCAGGUAAACAAUUAUUUUAAAAUAGGAUCAGUGUAAGCAGUGUGUCAGUUUUAUUAAACUCAAGUACUCAGAAUACUUACAAUUUCACAUUCCUUGCAGGUAGUGCCCUUCAGUUUUCUUCUCUCAUCCUUUUUGCGAACGACUGCUACAUGUGCAAACGCUGGGUGUCUAAUCCAGAGACAGAUCUAGGUUAUGGAAAACUGACAAUGACCAGCAAACAUGAUCAUCUUCAGAUAAACACCUGAAAAGGUUGAUCAGUUUCUUACCGUGCUUUAGACUGGCAUGCACCGUCUUCAGGAGGAUCUUCUUAUUUGGAGAAUUUAGGGGGGG